RNAcentral lists this unclassified non-coding RNA (314 nucleotides) under uncultured Penicillium. Its description in RNAcentral is "sequence contains ITS1". The stretch from base 1 to 105 matches the Rfam family "5.8S ribosomal RNA", at positions 50 to 154 of the family's 154-position model. The record is from RNAcentral. Lineage: Eukaryota; Fungi; Ascomycota; Eurotiomycetes; Eurotiales; Aspergillaceae.
GAAAUGCGAUAAGUAAUGUGAAUUGCAGAAUUCAGUGAAUCAUCGAGUCUUUGAACGCACAUUGCGCCCCCUGGUAUUCCGGGGGGCAUGCCUGUCCGAGCGUCAUUGCUGCCCUCAAGCACGGCUUGUGUGUUGGGCUCUCGCCCCCCGCUUCCGGGGGGCGGGCCCGAAAGGCAGCGGCGGCACCGCGUCCGGUCCUCGAGCGUAUGGGGCUUCGUCACCCGCUCUGUAGGCCCGGCCGGCGCCCGCCGGCGAACACCAUCAAUCUUAACCAGGUUGACCUCGGAUCAGGUAGGGAUACCCGCUGAACUUAA